RNAcentral lists this long non-coding RNA (743 nucleotides) under Elaeis guineensis (African oil palm). RNAcentral describes it as "long non-coding RNA (EGUI_LNC078753)". Lineage: Eukaryota; Viridiplantae; Streptophyta; Magnoliopsida; Arecales; Arecaceae. The record is from RNAcentral.
CGUGAAGGUUUCUUACGCCAUAGUAUGUUAUUGUCGCUCAUUCUCAUGGACAUGGAUGGGUUUGUUUCAAGUUUGAAUUUAAAACUUGUUUGAAUUCAAGUUUGGAUGAGAUCGGUUAGGUUUAAAAAUUGGUUUUGAACUAACCUCUUAUCCUUAUCUAUCUAUUGACGCCAACACCUUGAGAAGGAUUUUUUUUUGUGCGACAAACCUUUUGAUUUUCACCAUGAAAUCAUUUUUUGAGUGUGGGCGUGAAGAUUGGUUUUGUUUUGAUUUUAAAUUCAACUCGAAUUUUGAAUUCGAGUUUGAAUCAAACUACGAUAUCUUUAUCCCACCUUAACCACUUAUGGAUGCCAAAAAUAAAAGAGGUUUUCUUUUUGGCGUGCGUGAGAGAGAGCUUUGAAAAUAUUUUCACCGUGAGAAAGUUUUCUCUGAAGAAAAUUGGGCAUGGGCACUUAUGGGGCAUAGGUCUUUGGUGUGGAAACCCUAGGGUUUGGGUCUAGGAUAUCGGGAAGAGAGAAAAGUGAGAAGGGAGACAGUUUUUUCUUCCCAUCUUCUCCACCUCAUUCUCCUCCUAAAUGUCCUUUUUAACCUUUGGAAAUGUUCAAGAGUUUUGAAGGAAAGAAUCGGAUCAGCCUUCGACACGGACUUUGCACGAGCUAGCACUCCUGAGAAGAUCGAUUGGAUCGGAGAUUUGAGUGAACGUCCUGUAGAGAUUGGACAUCCUGUGCGACUGCGAGCGACGA